CAAGACUACAAUCAAAAUGGUUGCAAUAAGAUCAAUUAGCAUGAAAAAUUGCUAGUGAUUUAUAAAAAAGUAAAUUAAGCAGUCAAAUUUCUGAUUCUAAUUAUUACAUCAGGAGUUGAUUGAUUUCAAUUAAUGGUCGAUAUAUAAUUGGAGAAAUAGUUUGAAAGAGCUGAAAGUAUGCAAAACUUUGAUGACCUUGAUAUAGAGGGGCGCAAUCCGUCUCAUCUAUCAGAAGAAGAACGAGAAAAGGAAGAAAGUGAUCGUAAAAGAUUGAUGCGCUGCAGUGUAACUGCAGAAGAUGGAACACUUCGACCAGUAUAUUCUCGGACAGAAGAUGGUGAUAUUUGGUGUCAUAUUUGUAAUAUUGCACUAUUUGGUUCACAUAAAUUACAAUCACACAACACAUCAAGUAGACAUAAGAUAAAAUUAGAUGAGUGGCCAUAUCCAGUGUCAUUAUGGUCAAAGAGAGAUACCAUGAAAGGUUCAAUGCAAUCAAUUUCUUCAUUAAAUGAUUCUUUGGCACCUGGAGAACCUGUUCCUCCGGGCAUGGAAGAUCAAAUAACUCGCGCAACGCAGAUCCAAACGAGCCUGGAUCGUCAUCAAAGCUCUCCAUUAGUUGGACUUGAAUAUUUAUUGGAACUUAUUGACAAUGAUUCAUGUGAACCAAGUUACACCUGUGUCUUAUGUGAUAAACGUGGUGAUCCACGUACCGUCAUGGCUCACAUCACAUCAUACAAUCAUCGAAUCACUUAUUUAAAUAGACAUUUCCCGACAAUAUCACGUGCUAUUACGGAUUUACCGCGUACUCCCAAUUAUAAACGUGGCGCCAAUGAAAUUUCCGUUCUAGUAGCCAAGAAAAUUGAAGAAAAGUUUGGAAGACUUCAUCCACAACUUGUGGAUAAGAACCAGUUUGAGAAGAAUAAACUUCAAUUUAUUAAAAAUGUUUAUCAGGACUAUCAUUUUAGGGAAACGCCCGAGUUAACAUUUAUGGAAGUUUAUGAUGUGCGUUGGGUGACAAACUUUGAAGAAAAAUUGGCAGAAAUGACUGGUGAAUCAAAAAAAGAUGAGAAUAUUGACGAAAAACCUAAGAAAGAAGAUAGCAUGGAGAAAGCCUUUCCUAAAAAAAUUGAACCAGAUACUAGUAAAUCAGGAAUGAAAAUUCGCAUCAUGACAAAGGAAAAAUUAUCCAAAAAAGCCGAUAAAGAAAUGAAAGGUCCAGCAGACGAUACAAAAUCUUUAUCAUCUCUUUCCAGCAUUUCUAGCAGUCCUUCACCGUCUAGAUCACGUUCACGAUCUCAUAGUCCAAUUCGAACUCGCGAAAAAUCAUCAAAACAUCGAUUGAGCAAUAAAUCAUCUCGGUACGGUCGGUCCCGGUCGCGAUCACGUUCAAAUGAACCACUUCGAGAACGCGAUAAAUGGGAUAAAUUUCGCGAACAAAUUCGUAGAGCUGAAGAAACACUUGAUCGUGCUUUGAAAUUCCAUGAAAAAAAUCCAGAAAAACAUCCAGCAUAUCCAGAUGAAUGGAAAAAAUUCUGGAAUCGCCGAUAUAAAGAACUACAAGCUGAAGGUAAAGAUCCAAGUAAACAUGAUUUUAAACCAGAGUGGAUUGAAUUUUGGAAUAAAAGAAUGCGUGAAAUUCACAAUGAGCAACUUUCUCAAAGAAAAGAAGAAAUAAGGAAACGGUUAGAGCUUCCAGAAGAUAAACCACCAGAAACUAAAUGGGUUCCACCACCAAAAAGAGAUAAAGAAGAGCGUAGUUCUCCAAGUAAAAGGUCUAGACAUCAUGUAGAAAGUGAUGAUGAUGUAGAAUAUGUAGGAACUAAGAUGAUAAAACCUGAACGAAGUGAAUACCGAGAGAGACAUGAACGUGAAAUAGUUAGAGAUAGAGAAUAUGGAUAUUUAUAUCGAGAAAAGCCGUCCUAUCGAAGCUAUUAUGUUCCAUCAGUGCGUCCGCCAAUGCCUAGGCCACGCCACUAUACACCGUAUACUGUAAAAGAAAAAUCGCCAAGCCCUGCCAAAGAUGAUAACCUGAAAGAAGAUCUUGAAAUUGUUGGACUUCUUCGACUUUUGACAGCACUUGAAGCUCAAUUAGGUUCAUUGGGUCCUAAAGUUGUCUCUUUACUUUCAAAGGCACUUGCUGCCGAAAAAGCCAAGCCCAAUUCCGCCGAAGAGCUUUUAUAUGAUGAAGAGGUAAGCGUUCUAUUUGAGACAGUCAAAGAAAAACUCAAGGGACAACUUUUUGCUGGAAUGAUUGAGAAGGUAGCAAUUGCUGCGACGAAAUCUGCCAUUCAGAAUAUUGCUCAGUUACUUCAUAAAGCGACUGAAGAAAAGAAAAAAAGAGAAGAAGAAGAAGAAAAAAAGAAAAAACAAGCUCAAGAGAUUGCAAGGUCUAUUGCAGCUUUUUCGUCAAGAUCUCUCUUUCCAACUAUCAGAUCAGAGCCUGUCAGUGUUCCUGGUAUUGGAGCUAUUGAUAAAGUAGCUAUAGCUCAACAAAUAGCGGCAGCUCUUAUUGCUCAAGGAAGAACUAAUGUUUCCCAAGAUGAGUUAGAAACUCUAAUUAAUGCAGUAGUUGGUAUGGCUGAAGCUUCACAACAUAGUGAUAAACCAGUUACAGCUGCUAGUUUUGUGAAAAGUUUAACAAUUAAAACACAGCCUACCAUAACAGAAGUUAUAACACCAGUUACUACAAGCUCAAUUUCAACUACUCCUAGCAUUCCAGAACCGCCAGUAGUUGAGAGAGUUAAAGAAACACCAAUCAUACCACCAAAAAUCAUUGAUCCUAUUGAAGCUCAUGCUGCAAGAAUGGAAAAAUUAACUGAUAACGAUCUUAAAGAUCUUCUUCAAAACUUUAAGGAAUUAGGAACUGAUGAACAACAUGGACUAAUCAAUUUCCUGAAAAAGUUAGAAGCUUCCGAUCCUGCGAGAGUAGAAAAGUUAAGAGGAUAUGUCAAUUUAGGUGGAUCAAGUAGUCAAAGAGCUGAAACACCUGUUAAAGACGUCGAAGAAAUUCCCGUUAAACCUUCGAGAAGUGUUUCACCAUUUGCGUCAAGAAAAGGAGCUCAUAAUCCUAUUGACGACGAUCAUCAAAAAUGGAAACCGAAACUUGAUAUUUUCGCUGAUGAAGAGGAAGAUAAAAAACGAAAAGAAGAUGAGAGAAAUAAAAAAAUAGAUCUUUCCGAUGAUGACGAUGAUUAUUCUUUUGAAGAUAUUUAUAAAGCAGCUGAUAAGAAUGUUUCAGAAAAUGAAAAAGCCAGGAGAUCUAAUUCGUUAUCAAGAUCGUGGUCUAGAUCUAGAUCUAAAUCACCUUUAUCGAAGAAAGAAGCUAAAGUUAAUGAUCCAACAGCUAUUUUAAACGAGACAAAACGGCUUAUUGCUAACAUAAUGGGCGAUUUGCCUAAUAAGUAUGUCGUGAAGUCUCAUAAUCCUCAAAAAGAACGACAAAAUUCACUUAAUGUUGAUCUAGCACCUCCUGGAUCUACCAAUGUUUCAAUUCCUCCAUCUACAAAUUAUCCAACGAGUUAUCCACAUGUAAAUCAACAGAAUCCAAUAUCUUAUCCCAGCAAUUUAAGUAAUCAGAACUUCUCUAAUUAUCAACAACCUCCGCAACAGAGUUUUAAUCAUCAAGGAUAUAUGAAUAAUAUGCCAAGUAAUAUGAAUAAUAUGCCUAGUAGCAUGUCUAGUAUGAAUCCUAAUGUAGGAUCUAUGUCUAACAUGAAUAAUGGAUAUAAUAAUUACAAUCAACCACCAUACAAUAAUUUAAAUAAUCAAAAUCAAUAUGGUGGGCCUGGUAUGCAACAAAAUCAAUAUCCAUCUCAACAAGUGUAUGGCGGACCUCAAUAUGGCGCACCAUCAGCCCCUAUUGGAUAUCCACAACAAAGUCAAUAUGGAAAUUAUUCACAACGGUUUUAUUAAAAAAUCACCCUUAACACGUAAUCGAUGAAAAGGGCGGUAAGAGAUAUUUUUUUUAAUAUACGAAUUAUUUUGUAAACUACAAAAUAGUUUAAUAACAACAAUAAGCUAUUUUUAUAUCAAAUUCAUUUUUUUAUGAAAAAAUUUUCAUUGUUUAUUUUUAAAAAAAAAAAAUAUGCUGAAAAUGUUUGUUAACAUUUAAUGAGCUUUUUUUAAGAAAACGUUCUUCAUAACUGUAAAAACAUAAAAAAAUUCUAUAUUUACUUUUACUCUUAGGAUCUUUUAUCAUCAAUAGUUACGUUAAAUUCAAUUGAAACAAUAUCUUUAAAAUAUUUCGGAUCAUCAUCAAUUCGUUGAAACUUGAUUUAAAAAAAUGAAAUGUUAUCUCGACUGCUGAAAAUAUAACGUUUGUGUGAUCAGAAUUUCUUCUGUCUAUAAGUAACUAAUAUGUACAGUGGUGUGGUAAAAAUUGUUUAUAAAUAAUAGUGGAUUCAAUAGUGACAAUAUCAUAUGGUUUUAAUUAUAAACAAUAAGUGCAGAACAGAGUGAAAAGAAGAACGUAAGAAUUAAGAAUCAGAGGCCGUCAUAAAGGUGAACAGUUUUUUUAAAAUUAGUUAUCAUUAGUAAUAGAAGAUAUUCGUCUUCUGUGAUUUUUUUUUUUUUUAGAAAUAGAUAUCAUUUUUAAACAGCAAAGUGUUAUGUAUUCAUUGUAAUUAAUUAAUCAUUAAUGAUGAUUCAUUAGUAAUUACAACUACUGUUAUUAUACUCACUACUAGUAUCUUUUUU
RNAcentral lists this unclassified non-coding RNA (4695 nucleotides) under Chelonus insularis. Its description in RNAcentral is "coiled-coil domain-containing protein 47-like, transcript variant X4". The record is from RNAcentral. Lineage: Eukaryota; Metazoa; Arthropoda; Insecta; Hymenoptera; Braconidae.